Molecule: RNA transcript, 1517 nt
Organism: Trichomycterus rosablanca
Lineage: Eukaryota; Metazoa; Chordata; Actinopteri; Siluriformes; Trichomycteridae
Gene: rwdd3
Gene name: RWD domain containing 3
Exons: 6
Source: RefSeq, a predicted model, not a curated record
UUAAAGUUAGUGUUAUUUAUUUUAAUAUUAAUGUAAAUAAAAUGUGUGAAGAAGCGCUGGAUGAGAUGUCGGUUCUGUCUGCGAUCUACUGUGGAAAAGACGAGUUUGAGCUAAUUGAGCAUUCAGCUCAAACUGGACUUGUGUAUCGCAUCCGAACUGCAGUAGAAACCAAAAGUGGUUGUAAAGUCCUGGAUCUUGUGUUCCACGUCUCUCCAGAAUAUCCCCAAACCCCUCCAGACAUCAGCGUGACCUCCAGUGACCUCUCGAGAACCCAGUGCCAGGAUCUGAGGAAAGCGCUGCUCAGUGAAGCUCACGGUCUUCCACCUGAACCCAUGGUGCACCAGCUAGUGACGUGGCUUCAACAAAGCUUCACCGGUCUGAUCGCAGCCCCAGACUGGCAGGACCGCUCACGUACACCAGACGGUACGGCCGAGGAGACCUGGAUCACCCUGCUGCACUUGGAUCACAUGAGAUCCAAAGCGAGAUACGUCAGACUGAUCGAAAAGUGGACGUCAGAGUUGGAUCUGACCGGGAGACUGUUUAUGGGGAAACCUACGCUGAUUCUUCUGCAGGGAACCAAGAAGAGCAUUAAGGAAUACGUCCACCUACAGAGGACGGUCAAAGUGGACGUCGACUCGUCAGGAAAACGGUGCAAAGAGAGGAUGAUGAAGGUUUUAUGUGAAGUCCCUCUCACUGACGAUUUCACAAACAGUGAUGAAGCUGAAGGUAAACUGGACGACCUCGACCUGAUGGAGCUCGUUAUCGCCGCAGGUUUCCUGUUCAUCUCAGGGCUGCUAAUGAGCGGACUCUUCGGAACCGGACCCACAGCGACCCUGACCAGGAUAAAACAGACACUAAAUGAAUGAAUAAAUUAAGUACAGACAGAUUUAUUUGAACAAGUGAACAUCUGAUGGACCAGCUGCCCCAGAGGCGGCGUGACGGCUCUUUUCCAUAGUAGGCGCCAUGUUUGGACCCAGCAGGUUGCACCAGUUGGUGGGGAUGAACGCCAGCGCCUGAUCCACGUUCCUCGAGCCGCCUGGAAUCCGCCGAGGUUUUAUCGGCUCUUUGUUCCUCUCGACUCUCCGUCUUCCGUGAUGUUUACAGUCAGAACGAGACCCGGCGUAAUGAUUUCAGUCCAUCGCGGGUCCGCCACGGCUGAUCCUUCUUUAUAGGCUUGAUAUAAUUUAGUGGGCCUGGAGCACGCCCACCGGUGGCAUACAUUAGAUCUUGACUGUUGCAAUCAAGUGCAGUGACAUGUUUUGAUUUAAGGAGCUGUGGGAGGCCGGCGGGCUCGAGCUGAGAGAGACGUAUACUGUAUAUAAAAACAUUCCAGUACAAAGCUUGAGGAACGCUCGCCGUCAGAAUUCCCCGCCGAGCUGUUUGUAAGGGACGUCGGUAGAGUUCAGCGUCACUUUAACGCCAGGUUUUAUUGUUCCUGCUGUUGUUAAAAUUGAUUUAAAGAUUUGUGGUGAUUCAUGUGAUCUGUCAAACAUCAGAUGAAAUAAAGAUACGAGGCG